GUCGGGAUAGCUCAGUUGGUAGAGCAGAGGACUGAAAAUCCUCGUGUCCG
This 50-nucleotide transfer RNA is filed under the name Scaphispatha gracilis. RNAcentral describes it as "partial transfer RNA-Phe". It matches the Rfam family "tRNA", at positions 1 to 49 of the family's 71-position model. From Rfam's summary of the family: Transfer RNA (tRNA) molecules are approximately 80 nucleotides in length. Their secondary structure includes four short double-helical elements and three loops (D, anti-codon, and T loops). Lineage: Eukaryota; Viridiplantae; Streptophyta; Magnoliopsida; Alismatales; Araceae. The record is from RNAcentral.